This is a long non-coding RNA of Arvicola amphibius (Eurasian water vole), 831 nucleotides long. RefSeq lists it as uncharacterized. The transcript has 2 exons. NCBI's taxonomy places the organism in Eukaryota, Metazoa, Chordata, Mammalia, Rodentia, Cricetidae. The record is from RefSeq and is a predicted model, not a curated record.
CAGAGCUAAAAUGUUUCCUCAUGAAAACGGCCGAUGGCAAAGCGGGUUGGAGACUCAUUCCUAGAAUCCUAGCGCCCAAGUGGCUGACCUCGGAAGGGAUGUUUGAAGGAAACUCGGGCUACAUGUUGAGUUCCAGUCAGAGUGCUACCGGAUGAGAUCCUGUAUCAAAACCAAAACCAACCAAGCAAAGUCGAAAGGCUGUUUGUAAACCAUCAAUUCUGCACAGCCAGCUUGGUUCAUUUAUUUCCCAUGUUCUGGAGAGCCCUGAUGAGGUGGCCAGCACUGACUCAGCGGAGCCGGACCUUCACUUGGGUCCAGUUCUCGGCAGCUGCUGGAGCUCCACGCUUGCCUACAGCGAUGCGCCAGCUGUCUCCGCCUGCAUCGCGCCGCAGUAAUGCGAACAACUGGAAGCAAUAAUGUGUCUCCCCAUUUGCCUAACAAUCCCAACAUGGACAAUAACUCAGAAGACUGAAGAUUUGUGCUGUAAUUUAAUAAACCCCAUGCACAUUUCCACAAUUGAGUAUCACAUCUGUGCAAUGGAUCCUGCAAGUAUAAUAUUCUUUUAUAAGAGACCAUUAACCAAUCUUAAGUUUAUAGGUUUCCUUAAAUCUUUUUCAUCAGCUGUUAAACUACAGUAAAGAGAAAAUUGCCUCUUAUGAGACAAGGGAUAGUAAAAUACAAAGACUGUGAUUAAACGUCAAUCAAUUAAGGAUGAUAAUAUAAUAAAAUGCUGACUGAUGAUUAAGAUGAGGGUUUUCUAGGAGAAUUUUGUAACCAAUAUUAUGAAUAUUUUUAGAAGGUACUAGAAUAAACUUCAAUUAGAUCAGUUUA